This 1305-nucleotide long non-coding RNA is filed under the name Gossypium barbadense (sea-island cotton). Its description in RNAcentral is "long non-coding RNA (GBAR_LNC014984)". Lineage: Eukaryota; Viridiplantae; Streptophyta; Magnoliopsida; Malvales; Malvaceae. The record is from RNAcentral.
UCAAAUUUUAAUUUAGUCACUUAAUUUUUAAAAAAUAACAAAACAGUCAUUACUAAUCAUUUUCUGUUAGAGAUGUAAUGUUAGAGAUGUAAUGGACGUAGCAUUUUCUGUUACAAACUUCCAUUUUUCAUCCCUCUUUCCCAACCCUCUCUCUCUUCCACACCAUCUCUCCCCUACUCUAAUUCUCUUUACCUCUCCCCCUUUUCCCCACCAUCCUUCUUUCUACUUUGAUUCUUUUCCUCUCCUCCAACGUCCCUUUGCUAACUCUCUUCCCCUACUAUGAUUCUUUCCCUUUCCCCCACUCUAAGAAAAAAAAAAAGACCUAACCGUCAUAUGUAGAACAUUUGAGUUCAAAAACGUAGGAGACUUGGUAAAACCAACUAUGAUGGACGAAAGACAGUGAUAAAUAACAAAAAGCUUAGCCCAAGCAGAAAUGAACAUUGUUAAGCAAAAACACUAGAAACCCAGCAGACUAAAACCUUUACGAGAAAAGAAGAAAAGAUUCUCUAAAAUUCAGAACCUAGCAGCGGCUAUAUUCUCAAGGAACUUCGACCAUGAAGAAACCAACACCCAUUUUUGGAUUCAAAACCUGGUAACAGACCUCUGAUGUAAAGAGACCUGCAAAAAAGAAAAAAGGAGAAUGGUCAUAUUCCCGAGAAAAGCGGACCGAGUACCGAACAAUGGAAGACCCAGAGGUGAUGGACCCAAAAACUACACAAACUGACCAAAGCUAUUCUGAAGCUUCUCGAAGGGUCAAAACCCGAGUUGUUGAUAAUCCUAUACUGCAACAUCGUUUAAAAAAGGAUAUCACACCUCCAUAGCUCCUCCACUAGCAAGUCAACUGUACCAUUGCUGAUUGCCUUGCAUUGCUAUAGAUUUAACCCCAAGAGGAUCUGACCCAAUUUUUCAAGUGAUGGCAGGCUUUUGUUGGAGAGCAAAUUGCAAACCAAUGUUUUAGGCGAUUUUUACUGGUGGGGGAGAGGGAAAGAAUCAGAGUAGGGAAGAGGGAGAGGGAUGGGAGAAGGGGAUGGAAAAUGAAAGAAUCAGAGUAGGGAAGGGAUGGUAGGGAAGAGGGAGAGGGAUGGGAGAAGGGGAUGGAAAAUGGAAGUUGUAACGAAAAAUAGUUUAGUUGUGAGUGUUUUGUUAUUUUUCAAAAGUGGAGUGACUGAAUUAAAACAUAAGUGAUUGUUUUAUCAAUUACUUCAAAGUUAAAUGACUAUUAAUAUAAUUUAUCCAUAAAAAAACAUAAAUAUGAAACUCUAAAAUGGCAUGGAUAAAGUAAAUAACUUAUUUUUUGUAAAUGCC